Molecule: non-coding RNA, 30 nt
Filed under: Rattus norvegicus (Norway rat)
Lineage: Eukaryota; Metazoa; Chordata; Mammalia; Rodentia; Muridae
Source: RNAcentral
UCUAAGGACCUCCAAUAUUGCAGGACCUCA